AGGAGGACUGAGGAGGACUCAGGUGGACUCAGGUGGACUGAGGAGGACUCAGGUGGACUCAGGAGGACUCAGGUGGACUGAGGUGGACUCAGGUGGACUGAGGAGGACUGAGGAGGACUCAGGUGGACUGAGGAGGACUCAGGAGGACUCAGGAGGACUGAGGAGGACUCACACAGCAAAAUUGGUAGUGUUGAUUUCCCAGUGUCAAAUAUUCUGAGUUGAUCCGUGUUGAUCGUGGUGUUCCUUUAGCACUUACAGUGUUAAAACAGCUCUGGGGGGAGUUAUUGCGGCGAGUUAAGUGAUGCUCUCCUGACCGAGUUACUUGCACAUCCGGUUUCAACGCGCUCUUUCUUCUGGAAGUCACGGUGAAGAAAACCCGCGGUCAGGAAGAUAUGUAGCUGUUAUUUCAGAAGUUUCUGCAAGAUAUCACCAUGCUGCUGAAGGUGAAAUACCAGAGGACCAAGAAGUACAUCCGAUUACAGCUAGGUUUCACCUAUUUGGAAUUCAUCACUGCAGUCAAAAACAAAUUUGGACUCCAUGAUGCAGCUGAACUUCACAUAUUUGAUGAAACUGACACUGCAGUGGAGGAAGACAUUCUUCUUGAACUGAUAGAGUCCAAUCCAGACCUUUGCCUGAUCGUGCGUGACAGCAUUUCAGAUGAAAAUCAUUCAACACCAUCUUCUCUCACGGAUACCAUGACGCUUUCUUCAAGUGACAAUGACCUCUCCGGUCAAAGACAAAGAGGGAUUUUGAGCUCUGAGGUCAUGGACAGGUCUACAAAAAAGGUUUUGGAUUCAGAGGCUGCAAAAGAGAUGGUAGAAAAUGCCUUGCUCACCAAACCUGGAGGUGAAGAUGUCCUUGAAGAGUACAAGUCAGGAAAUUCGCUGAAGCACCGCACCCGUAGACAGCUUGUCAACAUGUUGGCUAGCCAUAUGACUGAAAUGGAUGGCUGAAUCAAGACUUCACACUGCCGUUUGGUGCUGAGACGGCUUCCAAGAUGCUCGAGAAGUGGGAUACAGCAUUCAAGCCCACGGUCAUCAAAGAGGCCAAACACCUGACUCCGACAACUGAGCUGUGCCAACUUCUGACAGCUGCGGAGAACCUUCUAGAAUGUGAUCAUACCGACGGGGACAGUGACAUGGCUUCUCUGCUGCUGCUUCUCCAUCUCUUGCCACCCACAGCUGGACGGAAGAAGAUCAAAAUCAGUCCCAGUGAUGCAGUGGGAAAAAUGUUGCAUUUUCACAAGUCAUGCUGCAGCAUCAGUGAACACCUGCUGGGAAGAGAGGCUAAACAACCGGACCUCCUUGCUGUUGGCCGAAACAAAAACAGAAUCGAUGCCUUCUCCAUCGUUGUGGAUAAACGGCUCAUCCCCUGCCAAGCUACUAGCUCGUUGGGUGCUUUUGAUGAACUAUUUAAAUCCCACUACGUGUUCAACCUGUCUUACGAUGAAACUUUGGUCCCACUCUUCACCUUUGUGCAGACAACAGUCGACAACAUCGAUAUUACAACAACAGAUCAGUCUCCAAGAGUACGUGAGUUCUGGGCGAAGGUCUUGCACGUGGUUUAAAAAUGAAGUAUUUCAUUUGUGGUGUUGUACAUGCGGCCUGCCAGGAGUUAAUUUUUGUAAAUGUGCAUGAUUGUGCUUUGAAGAUAUUUUCUGGAUAAAAUAAAAAUAAUUGUAUCAAUAA
This is a long non-coding RNA of Pseudoliparis swirei, 1688 nucleotides long. RefSeq lists it as uncharacterized. Lineage: Eukaryota; Metazoa; Chordata; Actinopteri; Perciformes; Liparidae. The record is from RefSeq and is a predicted model, not a curated record. The transcript has 8 exons.